UACGUAGGGGGCAAGCGUUGUCCGGAAUCAUUGGGCGUAAAGCGCGUGUAGGCGGCUGAGUAAGUCCGCUCUGAAAGCCCGGGGCUCAACCCCGGGAGGCGGGUGGAUACUGCUCAGCUCGAGUCCGGAAGAGGAGUGUGGAAUUCCUGGGUGUAGCGGUGAAAUGCGCAGAUAUCAGGAGGAACACCAAUGGCGAAGGCAGCACUCUGGGACGGUACUGACGCUGAGACGCGAAAGCGUGGGGAGCAAACAGG
Molecule: ribosomal RNA, 254 nt
Filed under: uncultured bacterium
Lineage: Bacteria
Description: partial 16S ribosomal RNA
Rfam family: Bacterial small subunit ribosomal RNA
Source: RNAcentral